AUGGCCGCCGUGUCCAUGGCCCUGUCCCGACCGCUCGCCGCACGGCAUUCCGCUCACCACCUGCAGCUGCACCACCUCCUCGCCGUCUCCACCUCGCCGCCGCGGCUGCCUCUGCUCCCGCGUGGGCCGCCAGCCGGGAUCGCGCCUCUGCACCUCCCUCGCGGCGGCGGCACGGCCAGGAGGAUCAUGCCCGUCUGCCCCAGGCUUGGGUCGGGCGGAUCGGACGACCUGGCCCCGACGCCCAAGUCGGAACGCACCAUGACGGGCUUCGACCUGGCCAGCCUCUGGGUGGGCCUCGUCGUCGGCGUGCCGGCCUACUACCUCGCCGGCAGCCUCGUCGACCUCGGCAUGUCGGCGAUCCAGGGCGUAGCCACAGUCACGCUCGCCAACCUCAUCGUGCUCGCCACGCUCGUGCUCACGGCCGCGCCGGCCGUCACGCACGGGCUGCCGUUCCCGGUGCUCGCGCGCGCCGCCUUCGGGGUUCACGGCGCGCACGUCCCGGCCGUCGUCCGCGCGGUCAUCGGCUGCGGGUGGUUCGGGAUCGAGUCGUGGAUCGGCGGCAGAGCCAUCUUCCUCCUCCUGCCGGCGUGGCUCAAGACCCACGCGCCGCUGCUGAAGCCGGUGCCCGGCCUCGGGGCCUCGCCGCUCGAGAUCGCGUGCCUCCUCGUCUUCUCGGCCGCGCAGCUCGCCGUCAUCAUGCGCGGCAUGGACGGCAUCCGCAAGCUCGAGAAAUACGCAGCACCGGUGCUCGUCGCGCUCACCUCCGCGUUGCUGGCCUGGGCCUACGUCUCCGCCGGCGGUUUCGGGCCCAUCCUCUCGCUUCCGCCGCGGCUGGUCGGCGGCGACUUUUGGCAGCUCUUCUUCCCGGCGCUCACCGCCAACAUCAGUUUCUGGUCGACGGUGGCCAUCAAUAUCCCGGAUUUCGCGCGGUACGCCCGGAGCCAGACGGACCAGGUGCUCGGCCAGAUCGGGCUGCCGGUGUUCAUGGGCAUGUUCACCUUCGCCGGCCUCGCCAUAACCUCCUCCACCGAGGCCAUCUUCGGCCAGGUCAUCUCCGACCCCAUCGACCUCCUCAGCCGCAUCGGCGGGCCCGCCACCAGGGUCCUCGCCAUCUUUGGCAUCACCCUAGCCAUCAUCACCACCAACAUCGCCGCCAACGUCGUCGCGCCGGCGAACACCCUCGUCGCGCUCGCGCCGCAGACAUUCACGUUCGCCAAGGGCGCGCUCGCCACGGCGCUGCUCGGCAUCGCCUUGCAGCCGUGGCGGCUGCUCGGCUCCAGCGAGAGCUUCGUCUUCACCUGGCUGCUGGGAAAUGCGGCGCUCAUGGGGCCCAUCGGAGGCGUCGUGCUCGCCGAUCACUAUAUAGUGCGGCGUACCGCGUUGGACGUCGACGCGCUCUACUCGGAGGAAGCCGGCAGCCCGUACUACUUCCAGGGCGGCUUCAACGUUGCCGCGAUGGUGGCGAUGGCGGCAGGAUUCGCCGCCGUCAUGCCGGGGUUCUUGCACAAGGUCGGGGUGCUGCCGACAAUGUCCAAGGCACUCGUCGUGGCCUAUGACAACGCCUGGUUCGUCAGUUUCUUCAUCGCCGGCGCCGUCUACUCCCUGCUGCGUCUCCGGAGAGGGGUUGAAGUGAAACGACAGUACAGUCGUGCCACUUCAUACUCCUACUAG
RNAcentral lists this ribosomal RNA (1671 nucleotides) under Triticum aestivum (bread wheat). RNAcentral's name for it is "partial small subunit ribosomal RNA". Lineage: Eukaryota; Viridiplantae; Streptophyta; Magnoliopsida; Poales; Poaceae. The record is from RNAcentral.